Gadus macrocephalus (Pacific cod) is the source of this 791-nucleotide long non-coding RNA. RefSeq lists it as uncharacterized. NCBI's taxonomy places the organism in Eukaryota, Metazoa, Chordata, Actinopteri, Gadiformes, Gadidae. The record is from RefSeq and is a predicted model, not a curated record. The transcript has 3 exons.
CCUUUAUCUUCCCCUUGGAAAAAAGUGGUGAAGUGGAGCAGAGUGGUCGCCAUGUCUGUGGCAGAGUGGUGGUGACGUAUAUCAUUCACGUCGAGAGCAGCGAGGGGCUGUAGUUCAAAAAGCGACCUCACAAAAACCUAACAUUAUCAAACUUCCUCGCAAUUUUCUUUUGUUUUCUUUGCAUGAAGAUUUUUAAUUUAAAUCCACAAACAACAUAUGUGUAAUCCAGCACAUAUAAAGACGGGGACCAGAAAAUAAUUACUUUCUCUCCAAUGAAACCCAUUCAUAUUUUUCGAUCUCAGAGGUCCCAUGAGGGGCCUACCGGAAGGGGCGGACUUACGAGCUCUAUGACGCUGCUCUCGAGCGACAUAUAGCUAGGACUGCUAAUCUUACAAGCAUUCUGAAGAUCGAUUGUCGGCAGUCGAUCUAGUCAUUCUAUCGCUGUAACUUUUCUCUCGUGUUGCAAUGGACAAGUUGUUUGACCUGGAUCUCCGUGACCCCCGCGCAGAAGGAAGACACCUUGCCAUUGGGUUGAUGCAUGACCAAUUCCUUGCUGAAGCCAUGGAGGCUGCGGAGAAUGUCAAUCGGGCAAGAUCUGGAGGGGAUUCACCACGGAGCUCAACCAAACAGAGCGGACGCGGCAAGGCCGGAGCGGACGCGGCAAGGCCAGAGGGAGACGUGGAGGCCGUGCGGGCCAUACAGGCCGUGCAGACCGAUGGAGUGGCCUAACUACAGGCAUGGACACUGAGGUGUUGGCACUUCCUUCAGAGGAUUCCUUGCCCUUACACUGA